UGUGAGCUCGAUGAGUAGGGCGGGACACGUGGUAUCCUGUCUGAAUAUGGGGGGACCAUCCUCCAAGGCUAAAUACUCCUGACUGACCGAUAGUGAACCAGUACCGUGAGGGAAAGGCGAAAAGAACCCCGGCGAGGGGAGUGAAAAAGAACCUGAAACCGUGUACGUACAAGCAGUGGGAGCCUCUUUUAUGGGGUGACUGCGUACCUUUUGUAUAAUGGGUCAGCGACUUAUAUUCUGUAGCAAGGUUAACCGAAUAGGGGAGCCGAAGGGAAACCGAGUCUUAACUGGGCGUUAAGUUGCAGGGUAUAGACCCGAAACCCGGUGAUCUAGCCAUGGGCAGGUUGAAGGUUGGGUAACACUAACUGGAGGACCGAACCGACUAAUGUUGAAAAAUUAGCGGAUGACUUGUGGCUGGGGGUGAAAGGCCAAUCAAACCGGGAGAUAGCUGGUUCUCCCCGAAAGCUAUUUAGGUAGCGCCUCGUGAAUUCAUCUCCGGGGGUAGAGCACUGUUUCGGCAAGGGGGUCAUCCCGACUUACCAACCCGAUGCAAACUGCGAAUACCGGAGAAUGUUAUCACGGGAGACACACGGCGGGUGCUAACGUCCGUCGUGAAGAGGGAAACAACCCAGACCGCCAGCUAAGGUCCCAAAGUCAUGGUUAAGUGGGAAACGAUGUGGGAAGGCCCAGACAGCCAGGAUGUUGGCUUAGAAGCAGCCAUCAUUUAAAGAAAGCGUAAUAGCUCACUGGUCGAGUCGGCCUGCGCGGAAGAUGUAACGGGGCUAAACCAUGCACCGAAGCUGCGGCAGCGACGCUUAUGCGUUGUUGGGUAGGGGAGCGUUCUGUAAGCCUGUGAAGGUGUGCUGUGAGGCAUGCUGGAGGUAUCAGAAGUGCGAAUGCUGACAUAAGUAACGAUAAAGCGGGUGAAAAGCCCGCUCGCCGGAAGACCAAGGGUUCCUGUCCAACGUUAAUCGGGGCAGGGUGAGUCGACCCCUAAGGCGAGGCCGAAAGGCGUAGUCGAUGGGAAACAGGUUAAUAUUCCUGUACUUGGUGUUACUGCGAAGGGGGGACGGAGAAGGCUAUGUUGGCCGGGCGACGGUUGUCCCGGUUUAAGCGUGUAGGCUGGUUUUCCAGGCAAAUCCGGAAAAUCAAGGCUGAGGCGUGAUGACGAGGCACUACGGUGCUGAAGCAACAAAUGCCCUGCUUCCAGGAAAAGCCUCUAAGCAUCAGGUAACAUCAAAUCGUACCCCAAACCGACACAGGUGGUCAGGUAGAGAAUACCAAGGCGCUUGAGAGAACUCGGGUGAAGGAACUAGGCAAAAUGGUGCCGUAACUUCGGGAGAAGGCACGCUGAUAUGUAGGUGAAGCGACUUGCUCGUGGAGCUGAAAUCAGUCGAAGAUACCAGCUGGCUGCAACUGUUUAUUAAAAACACAGCACUGUGCAAACACGAAAGUGGACGUAUACGGUGUGACGCCUGCCCGGUGCCGGAAGGUUAAUUGAUGGGGUCAGCGCAAGCGAAGCUCUUGAUCGAAGCCCCGGUAAACGGCGGCCGUAACUAUAACGGUCCUAAGGUAGCGAAAUUCCUUGUCGGGUAAGUUCCGACCUGCACGAAUGGCGUAAUGAUGGCCAGGCUGUCUCCACCCGAGACUCAGUGAAAUUGAACUCGCUGUGAAGAUGCAGUGUACCCGCGGCAAGACGGAAAGACCCCGUGAACCUUUACUAUAGCUUGACACUGAACAUUGAGCCUUGAUGUGUAGGAUAGGUGGGAGGCUUUGAAGUGUGGACGCCAGUCUGCAUGGAGCCGACCUUGAAAUACCACCCUUUAAUGUUUGAUGUUCUAACGUUG
This 1847-nucleotide ribosomal RNA is filed under the name Escherichia coli. RNAcentral describes it as "partial 23S ribosomal RNA". It matches the Rfam family "Bacterial large subunit ribosomal RNA", at positions 398 to 2230 of the family's 2925-position model. Lineage: Bacteria; Pseudomonadati; Pseudomonadota; Gammaproteobacteria; Enterobacterales; Enterobacteriaceae. RNAcentral also lists the same sequence under 1 other name. The record is from RNAcentral.